This 444-nucleotide ribosomal RNA is filed under the name uncultured bacterium. RNAcentral describes it as "partial 16S ribosomal RNA". It matches the Rfam family "Bacterial small subunit ribosomal RNA", at positions 338 to 795 of the family's 1533-position model. The record is from RNAcentral.
CCUACGGGAGGCAGCAGUGGGGAAUAUUGGGCAAUGGAGUAAACUCUGACCCAGCAAUGCCGCGUGAAUGAAGAAGGUCUUCGGAUUGUAAAGUUCUUUAGUCAGGGAAGAAUAAAAUGACGGUACCUGAAGAAUAAGCUCCGGCUAACUACGGGCCAGCAGUCGCGGUAAUACGUAGGAAGCAAGCGUUGGUCGGAAUGACUGGUCGUAAAGGGUGCGUAGGCGGUUAUAAAAGUGAGAAGUGAAAUACCCCGGGCUUAACUCGGGUGCGGCUUAUAAAACUGUAAGACUUGAGUGCGGUAGAGGUUAGUGGAAUUCCUAGUGUAGCGGUGGAAUGCGUAGAUAUUAGGAAGAACACCAGAUGCGAAGGCGGCUAACUGGACUGCAACUGACGCUGAGGCACGAAAGUGUGGGUAGCAAACAGGAUUAGAUACCCCAGUAGUC